UAUGGAGGAUGCGAGCGUUAUCCGGAUUUAUUGGGUUUAAAGGGUGCGUAGGCGGGCUUUUAAGUCAGCGGUAAAAAUUCGGGGCUCAACCCCGUCCGGCCGUUGAAACUGGGGGUCUUGAGUGGGCGAGAAGAAGGCGGAAUGCGUGGUGUAGCGGUGAAAUGCAUAGAUAUCACGCAGAACCCCGAUUGCGAAGGCAGCCUUCCGGCGCCCUACUGACGCUGAGGCACGAAAGUGCGGGGAUCGAACAGG
This 252-nucleotide ribosomal RNA is filed under the name uncultured bacterium. RNAcentral describes it as "partial 16S ribosomal RNA". It matches the Rfam family "Bacterial small subunit ribosomal RNA", at positions 524 to 776 of the family's 1533-position model. The record is from RNAcentral.